AAAUCCGUAGGUUUUAUAGAUCGUGAGG
RNAcentral lists this transfer RNA (28 nucleotides) under Cunninghamia lanceolata var. konishii. Its description in RNAcentral is "partial tRNA-Leu". The record is from RNAcentral. Lineage: Eukaryota; Viridiplantae; Streptophyta; Pinopsida; Cupressales; Cupressaceae.